This 1440-nucleotide long non-coding RNA is filed under the name Danio rerio (zebrafish). Its description in RNAcentral is "si:ch1073-226m24.3 (ENSDARG00000100325.2)". Lineage: Eukaryota; Metazoa; Chordata; Actinopteri; Cypriniformes; Danionidae. The record is from RNAcentral.
UUUUAAAAUUUGAAGACCUCGUGGACACCCUGUAACAAGGAAUUAUUAAACACAAAUAUAGAAAUUAACAUUUAGAUUAGUGAGUGUGGUACAAGUGAUCAAUGUUAGUGCAAGUUAACAAUGUUUAAUUAUGCUUAUUAUUAAAAAGUAUAUUAACAGCUGAAGCCCUAUAGUAGCAUAACCACAAUAAGCCAGUGUAGUGUACUGCUUUUCACUGAAUAAAAAAACAUUUGUUUUCAUAUUAUAAAGGUAUAACAAUGAACAGUAGCAAAUGUAAACAAUAAAAAUUAAUUAAACAUUGCUCAGAUUAACAAAUGAUCUUGUUUUUUGUUCAUGACACCUAAUACAUUAUCUAAUGAAAACAACCGAACCUUAUCAUAAAAUGUUCAAUUACAUUACAUAAUUGUAAUUAAGCAGAAGAGAUUAACUUUAACAUGAUUUUAACAUGAAUGAAAGAAGUUAAAAUUGACUUUGUACCAAUACAUCCUAACACAUUCACCCAUGCUGAUUUAGUUUAUGGUGCUCUACUGCCCUCUAGUGGACAUCAGGAAAAUGUGCCUCCUUUUAAACAAAACAAAAAACAAUCCAACUGGAUGUUAAACUAUAAAGUUGUAUUUAUUCCAGAGUAAGCUGAGAGUGGAGCAGAGCUGUUGUCUUACCAGUGUAACGAUUGCACACUCCGCCGUGAGCUGCGCUGCACUAAACAGAGUCCGGACGAAUCGAUAGAUGAGUUUGUGUUCAGGGUCUGUGCGGGAGUAAUCGUCAGGAACCUGCUCCCUCUGCCAAAGGUUGGGUUGGCUAACAGUACUGUCAUCGAUGAAUAUCGUAGAACAGGAGCUAUACUUCUUUGAAAGCAGACCAGGGGGCUGCUGCUACCCGCUCUGGCCACGAGAGCAAGAGGAUUGGUGGGCACAAUGAGCCUUUUGUACAGGCACUGCAACAGAACAACGCAAGCUCACACCCCGAGCUCUGCCCACAUUACUAUGUGCCACAGGAACUGUGCCAAUGGAUUAAAACCGACCUCUCUACAGCCAGACAUAUAACAGGAUGAGCACACAUAAUACAUCAUAAUAAAGAUCGUUUUUAUGUUUGGUUUUGAAAAAUGUGAAAGUCAUUGACUUGAAAAUACAUUCAAGCCAGAGUGCAGUUCAGAACAUUAGAAUUGAGGAUUCUGCCCUGGCCACUUUAUGAAAAGGUGUCUUCAGCAGCCAAUGAAGAUGCAUUCUUAUGGAACUCAAUGGAGACGGGUCAACAGACUUGUGCCAAUGCUGCUAAGUUGUACAGUAAACACAAUCCAAGGAGACGUUUGGACAGCUGCAACUAUGUGAUGAGAGCCACAGAACUGACAGGAAGUGGAGCAUAGGUGCAGGACAGAAGGGACUUCUGAGUACUUGACUUUUAGUCCACAACCCAAAACAUAUUACUUGGGGUCACUAACUC